UCAUAGCCUCACUGUGGAUUUUCUUCCCAUGGGAUGGAAUUGAAAGCCAGUGCAAUAAGAUAAGGAUUUAAAGCCCCACCUUUGAUUUCCCCCUCUCCAUUGCCCAUGAACAGGCUCUAUCAACAAUACGCUAUAACCUUCACCUGCGACUCCGAAAACUUUCUUGGGUCCUUGUAUUUUCUUCUCUUUUCUUUUUAGACAUUAAUACUUGCUAAAGGUGUUUGAGGUGAAUGGAGAGCUUAUUUUAAAGCAGCUUUUCAAUUCAAGUAAACAUGACAACCAUUGUCCCAAGUUCUACAAGCACUGUUUCUCUCAUUCAUGGAACUGCCUUUACAAUAAAGAAAAAUAAUCGCCUCACAAAAUGCAGUUUGUCAAGGAAAUCUUCAAAGCUUACACUAUCCUCACAAAGAUUAGUAUUUCCUCUUUUGACAUCUGCUGGAUUGUUCCCACAGUACAGAAGGAAUUGUGCAUCACUUCAUAGAUCUAUAGUGCAUACUGUAUCAGCAACAGGGACUGAUACUGAUGUUGUGGUAGAGGAGCCAGAUUCACCUGUUGCAGAUGAAGACUCUGACGGAGCCUCAGAAAUUCCAGCAGAUGCGGUUGAAUCAAGUGAAAAAUCCUCCAUCAGGUCAGAUGCCAAUCCUACUUUAGCUCAAUCAAGACGUUCAAGACCCAGUAGGAAAAGUGAAAUGCCACCAGUGAAGAAUGAGGACCUUAUUCCUGGUGCAACAUUUACUGGGAAAGUGAGAUCAAUCCAACCAUUUGGUGCUUUUGUUGAUUUUGGAGCUUUCACAGAUGGUCUAGUACAUGUUUCCAGGUUAAGUGAUAGCUUUGUUAAGGAUGUUGGAAGUGUUGUAUCUCUCGGCCAAGAGGUGACAGUGAGAUUAGUUGAAGUAAACACUGAGACGGGGCGUAUUUCUCUUACUAUGCGUGAAAGUGACAGUACCAGCAAGUCUCUUCAACAAAGAGAUUCUCCUGGUACUGCCAGCAGUGACAAGCCAAGGCCUGCUCGAAGGAACACACCAAAGCCUAGCCAGAGAAAAGAAGUUGUGAAGACCUCGAAGUUUGUUAAAGGGCAGGAACUGGAUGGCACAGUGAAGAAUUUGACCAGGUCUGGUGCUUUCAUCUCUCUCCCUGAGGGUGAGGAAGGAUUCUUGCCUGCAUCAGAAGAAUCUGAAGAUGGAUUUCUAAACAUAAUGGGGGGCUCAUCACUGCAGGUUGGCCAGGAAGUUAGCGUUAGGGUAUUGCGUGUUGCCAGGGGACAGGUUACCUUGACAAUGAAGAAGGAAGAGGAGAAUAAGUUUGAUCAGGAACUUAUCCAAGGGGUUGUCCAUAAUGCAACAAACCCUUUUGUUCUGGCUUUCCGUAAGAACAAGGAUAUCGCUGCAUUUUUAGAUGAGAGGGAAAAAAUGGAGAAAGUGGCCAAAAAACCUGUGAAACCAAAGACCUCAGUGGAAGUAGGACUGGUUAACCAGACUGAAGCUGUGUCUGAUAUGCCAGAAGUUCCGGGUCAGCUUUCAAGCAGUAAUGAGGGAUCAGUUGGUGUCUCUUCUAUGGUGGUUGAAACAGUAGAAGAGGUUGACACUACUCCAAGAGAAGUCACUACUGGAUCCAGUAGUGCUGGUGAUGACGAGGAGCCAGAAAGCAUAGAGUCAAGCGUAUCACAAAGUGUUGAAGGAGUGGUUGAAACUGUAGAGGAGGCUGAAGCUGCUACAAAAGAAGUUGACAUGGGGUCCAGUAGUACUGGAAAUGAUGAACAGCCAGAAAGCAUAGAGUCGAGCAUAUCACAAAGUGUUGAAGGAGUUAUUGAAACCGUUGAGGAAGCUGAAGCUACUCCAAAAGAAGUUGCUGUGGGAUCCAGUAGUGCUGGAGAUUAUGAAAAGCCAGAAAGCAUAGGGUCUAGCUCAUCACAAAGUAUUGAUGGGGCACUUCAAACUAUAGAGAAAGAAGCAGAGGAACGUUCUGGGAUUUUGAAUUCUGAAGGGAGUGCAUCUGCUUUGGAUAAGAUAAUUGAUGAGGCUUCUUCGACCGACGGGGUCGAAGAUGGAAAAUCAGGCUUAUCUGGAGAAAAAGUUGAUCAGCCUGGUGAUGCCAUAGCAAAAGAUGGAGUGCAAAUACAAACUCCUAGUGUGGAGAAUGAAAUUUCUUCUACUUCACCAGUUGGAGAUGAAGGCAUGGGAGAAACAAGCCCUGAUGAAAAUGGCAGUAUUACUGACUCAGGUGCGCAAGCAGGCAUUCUUUCUCCUCUGGAGGCUAAAGAAAGUCAGGAUAUUGAGGCAGUAGUGGAGGACCAAGUUGAAAACACCAAGGAUGAAGUGGAGGUUCAAACAUCUGUUGCUGAGGCUGAAAUUCCUUCUACUGUACAAAUUGAAAAUGAAAAAGUAGAAACUGUCCCUGAGAAAACUGGCACUUUUGGAGAUUCAAAUGGACAAAGCAGCAGUCCUUCCCCUGAGGAGAGUGUCGCUAAAGCAACCAUAUCACCAGCUCUGGUGAAGCAGCUUCGUGAAGAAACAGGAGCAGGAAUGAUGGAUUGCAAGAAAGCCCUCUCAGAGACUGGAGGGGAUAUCAUUAAAGCUCAGGAGUUACUCAGGAAGAAAGGAUUAGCAAGUGCAGAAAAGAAAGCCAGCAGAGCCACAGCUGAAGGAAGAAUUGGCUCUUACAUUCAUGAUAGCAGGAUUGGAGUCCUUGUAGAGGUGAACUGUGAAACAGAUUUCGUCUCCCGGGGUGACAUUUUCAAGGAGCUGGUAGAUGACAUAGCCAUGCAGGUGGCAGCAUGCCCUCAAGUACAGUACCUUGCUACUGAAGAUGUUCCCGAAGUGAUUGUGAACAAGGAAAAAGAAAUUGAGAUGCAGAAAGAAGAUCUCCUAUCAAAACCUGAGCAGAUCAGAUCAAAGAUUGUAGAAGGACGAAUCAGGAAGAGACUCGAGGAGCUGGCAUUGCUGGAACAGCCGUAUAUUAGGAAUGAUAAGAUUGUGAUAAAGGACUGGGUGAAACAGACAAUUGCAACUAUUGGAGAAAAUAUAAAAGUGAAGAGGUUUAUUCGCUACAAUCUUGGUGAGGGCUUGGAGAAGAAAAGUCAGGAUUUUGCUGCUGAGGUAGCUGCACAAACUGCAGCAAAACCAGUUACUGCACCAGCAACAGAGCAGCCUGCUCCAGCAGAAGCGAAGGAAACUAUUCAGAAGCCACCAACAGUAACAGUUUCUGCUGCACUUGUUAAACAACUGAGAGAAGAAACAGGAGCUGGUAUGAUGGACUGCAAGAAAGCGCUGUCCGAAACUGGAGGAGACCUUGAGAAGGCACAGGAGUAUCUCAGAAAGAAAGGUCUUUCAACUGCCGACAAGAAAUCUAGUCGGCUUGCAGCUGAAGGCAGAAUUGGCUCCUAUAUUCAUGAUUCCCGCAUUGGAGUUCUGAUUGAAGUCAACUGUGAAACUGACUUUGUGGGUAGAAGUGAAAAAUUCAAGGAAAUGGUUGAUGAUCUAGCCAUGCAAGUUGUGGCAUGCCCACAGGUGCAGUUUGUGUCCAUUGAGGAUGUCCCAGAGAGCAUUGUGAAGAAGGAGAAGGAGCUUGAGAUGCAAAGAGAAGACCUUUUGUCGAAACCAGAGAACAUAAGAGAGAAGAUUGUUGAGGGCAGAGUCUCAAAGAGACUUGGGGAGCUUGCUCUUC
This 3663-nucleotide unclassified non-coding RNA is filed under the name Hevea brasiliensis (rubber tree). Lineage: Eukaryota; Viridiplantae; Streptophyta; Magnoliopsida; Malpighiales; Euphorbiaceae. The record is from RNAcentral.